GAAAUGCGAUACUUGGUGUGAAUUGCAGAAUCCCGUGAACCAUCGAGUCUUUGAACGCAAGUUGCGCCCUAAGCCUUCUGGCCGAGGGCACGUCUGCCUGGGUGUCACAAAUCGUCGUCCCCCCACCAGAUCCUUCUCGGAUGGAUGGGUGAGACGGAAGCUGGUCUCCCGUGUGUUACCGCACGCGGUUGGCCGAAAUCCGAGCCAAAGGACGCCAGGAGCGUCUCGACGUGCGGUGGUGAAAAUCGUCAUAUCGUCGUUCGCUCCUCUGUCCGGAAGCUCUUUGAUGACCCGAUGUCCUCAACGCGACCCCAGGUCAGGCGGGAUCACCCGCUGAGUUUAA
RNAcentral lists this unclassified non-coding RNA (343 nucleotides) under uncultured fungus. Its description in RNAcentral is "sequence contains ITS1". The stretch from base 1 to 107 matches the Rfam family "5.8S ribosomal RNA", at positions 50 to 154 of the family's 154-position model. Lineage: Eukaryota; Fungi. The record is from RNAcentral.